Molecule: transfer RNA, 75 nt
Filed under: Elusimicrobiota bacterium
Lineage: Bacteria; Pseudomonadati; Elusimicrobiota
Description: Elusimicrobia bacterium (anaerobic digester metagenome) tRNA-Pro
Rfam family: tRNA
About the family: Transfer RNA (tRNA) molecules are approximately 80 nucleotides in length. Their secondary structure includes four short double-helical elements and three loops (D, anti-codon, and T loops).
Source: RNAcentral
CGGGGCAUAGCUCAAAUGGCUUAGAGCGCUCGCUUUGGGAGCGAGAGGUUCCCAGUUCAAGCCUGGGUGCCCCGA